Molecule: transfer RNA, 73 nt
Filed under: Clostridium sp.
Lineage: Bacteria; Bacillati; Bacillota; Clostridia; Eubacteriales; Clostridiaceae
Description: tRNA-Arg
Rfam family: tRNA
About the family: Transfer RNA (tRNA) molecules are approximately 80 nucleotides in length. Their secondary structure includes four short double-helical elements and three loops (D, anti-codon, and T loops).
Source: RNAcentral
GAGUCUGUAGCUCAGCUGGAUAGAGCAACGGCCUUCUAAGCCGUGGGUCGGGGGUUCGAAUCCCUUCAGGCUC